Molecule: long non-coding RNA, 1306 nt
Organism: Lagenorhynchus albirostris (white-beaked dolphin)
Lineage: Eukaryota; Metazoa; Chordata; Mammalia; Artiodactyla; Delphinidae
Exons: 3
Source: RefSeq, a predicted model, not a curated record
GCUUAGCUAAUCAAUGGUUGAGCCAUGAUCUAAAGCCUAUGCUAUUUGUAACACAUUUUUGUGCUUCUGAAAGUUUUCCACCUAAGUAUCCUUAAGGUAGAGGAUUAUGAAAUAAACUCUACGUAGGAUCUGAGAAAGAGCUGAGAACAUGGAAACUGAGACAGUGCUCUGAAGAAGUAGAAAUGUAGCACCCUGGUUUGGUACAUCACUGAGGACCCCAUCACUGAGGUACACAUCCCUUGGAGAAACACAGCAUUUCAACACAGUGCUUCCUGUAGUGGCCAGAUGAGUGACUAUAGCUUUCCACCUUGAAGGAUGAAGAUUAGCCUCACUGUAGGCCAGCUUACUCUCUCACCUCAAGAACAUGGAGUUAAACAAUGAAGAAAAUCAUGAGAUCCACCUCCUAGAGUAACGGAAAUAAAAACAAAAAUAAACAAAUGGGACCUAAUGAAACUUAAAAGCUUUUCCAAAGCAAAGGAAACUACAAUCAAGACGAAAAGACAACCCUCAGAAUGGGAGAAAAUAUUUGCAAACAAAUCAACGGACAAAGGAUUAAUCUCCAAAAUAUAUAAACAGCUCAUGCAGCUCAAUAUUAAAGAAACAAGCAACCCAAUCCAAAAAUGGGCAGAAGACCUAAAUAGACAUUUCUCCAAAGAAGACAUACAGAUGGCCAAGAAGCACAUGAAAAGCUGCUCAACAUCACUAAUUAUUAGAGAGCUGCAAAUCAAAACUACAAUGAGGUAUCACCUCACACCAGUUAGAAUGGGCAUCAUUAGAAAAUCUACAAACAACAAAUGCUGGAGAGGGUGUGGAGAAAAGGGAACCCUCUUGCACUGUUGGUGGGAAUAUAAACUCAUAUAGCCACUAUGGAGAACAGUAUGGAGGUUCCUUAAAAAACUAAAAAUAGAACUACCAUGCAACUCAGCAAUCCCAUUACUAGGCAUAUACCCAGAGAAAACCAUAAUUCAAAAAGACACAUGCACCCCAAUGUUCAUUGCAGCACUAUUUACAAUAGCCAGGUCAUGGAAGCAACCUAAAUGCCCAUCGACAGAUGAAUAGAUAAAGAAGAUGUGGCACAUAUAUACAAUGGAAUAUUACUCAGCCAUAAAAAGGAAUGAAAUUGGGUCAUUUGUAGAGACGUGGAUGGAUCUAGAGACUGUCAUACAGAGUGAAGCAAGUCAGAAAGAGAAAAACAAAUAUCGUAUAUUAACGCAUAUAUGUGGAACCUAGAAAAAUGGUACAGAUGAACUGGUUUGCAGGGUAGAAAUUGAGACACAGAUGUAGACAACAAACGUAUGGACAUCAA